This 500-nucleotide ribosomal RNA is filed under the name uncultured bacterium. RNAcentral describes it as "partial 16S ribosomal RNA". It matches the Rfam family "Bacterial small subunit ribosomal RNA", at positions 30 to 523 of the family's 1533-position model. The record is from RNAcentral.
AUUGAACGCUGGCGGAAUGCUUUACACAUGCAAGUCGAACGGCAGCACGGACUUCGGUCUGGUGGCGAGUGGCGAACGGGUGAGUAAUGUAUCGGAACGUGCCCAGUCGUGGGGGAUAACGUAGUGAAAAUUACGCUAAUACCGCAUACGAUCUAUGGAUGAAAGCGGGGGAUCGCAAGACCUCGCGCGAUUGGAGCGGCCGAUAUCAGAUUAGGUAGUUGGUGGGGUAAAGGCCCACCAAGCCAACGAUCUGUAGCUGGUCUGAGAGGACGACCAGCCACACUGGAACUGAGACACGGUCCAGACUCCUACGGGAGGCAGCAGUGGGGAAUUUUGGACAAUGGGCGAAAGCCUGAUCCAGCCAUUCCGCGUGCAGGAUGAAGGCCCUCGAGUUGUGAACUGCUUUUGUACAGAACGAAAAGGUUUCUACUAAUACUAGGAGCUCAUGACGGUACUGUAAGAAUAAGCACCGGCUAACUACGUGCCAGCCGCCGCUGUAA